Long non-coding RNA from Cyprinodon tularosa, 224 nucleotides. RefSeq lists it as uncharacterized. The transcript is spliced from 2 exons. The record is from RefSeq and is a predicted model, not a curated record. NCBI's taxonomy places the organism in Eukaryota, Metazoa, Chordata, Actinopteri, Cyprinodontiformes, Cyprinodontidae.
AUUCCAUAUUUCUUUUCCCUUUAGGCUUAUCUAACGUGCAGCCAAUAGAGAGGAAGCUGGUGAAAAUCACUUUGUCCACAUCAGCUUCCUCACUGAACCUGGAAGAAUCACAGGAUGCCAUCUUGCAGCAGCUUCGCAGCAAACUGCCGGAGAACGGACUCGGGGAUUUAAAGCUGAGGUGGAUAAAGCAGUCUGACGGAAAGACGUUCCACUUGAAGAAAAAA